UACGUAGGGUGCGAGCGUUAAUCGGAAUUACUGGGCGUAAAGCGUGCGCAGGCGGCGCGUUAAGACAGGUGUGAAAGCCCCGAGCUUAACUUGGGAAUUGCGCUUGUGACUGGCGUGCUGGAGUGUGGCAGAGGGAGGUGGAAUUCCACGUGUAGCAGUGAAAUGCGUAGAGAUGUGGAGGAACACCGAUGGCGAAGGCAGCCUCCUGGGUCAAGACUGACGCUCAUGCACGAAAGCGUGGGGAGCAAACAGG
This 253-nucleotide ribosomal RNA is filed under the name uncultured bacterium. Its description in RNAcentral is "partial 16S ribosomal RNA". It matches the Rfam family "Bacterial small subunit ribosomal RNA", at positions 524 to 776 of the family's 1533-position model. The record is from RNAcentral.